RNAcentral lists this ribosomal RNA (391 nucleotides) under uncultured Scuticociliatia. Its description in RNAcentral is "partial small subunit ribosomal RNA". It matches the Rfam family "Eukaryotic small subunit ribosomal RNA", at positions 30 to 432 of the family's 1831-position model. Lineage: Eukaryota; Ciliophora; Oligohymenophorea. The record is from RNAcentral.
GCUUGUCUCAAAGAUUAAGCCAUGCAUGUCUAAGUAUAAGCCUUUGUACGGCGAAACUGCGAAUGGCUCAUUAAAACAGUUAUAGUUUAUUCGAUAAUCAAUUGCUACAUGGAUAACCGUGGUAAUUCUAGAGCUAAUACAUGCUAUCAAGCCCGACUUCUUGAAGGGUUGUAUUUAUUAGACUUAAGCCAAUAUUCCUUGUGUCUAUUGCGAUGAUUCAUAAUAACUGAUCGAAUCUCAAAUUUGAGAUAAAUCAUUCAAGUUUCUGCCCUAUCAGCUUUCGAUGGUAGUGUAUUGGACUACCAUGGCAGUAACGGGUAACGAAGAAUUAGGGUUCGAUUUCGGAGAGGGAGCAUGAGAAACGGCUACCACAUCUAAGGAAGGCAGCAGG